This 272-nucleotide signal recognition particle RNA is filed under the name Candidatus Woesearchaeota archaeon. Its description in RNAcentral is "signal recognition particle sRNA". It matches the Rfam family "Archaeal signal recognition particle RNA". Lineage: Archaea; Nanobdellati; Candidatus Woesearchaeota. The record is from RNAcentral.
AUGUAAGCUAGACUGGCAGUUUAGGCCUCUGUUGUAACUCUAAACGGUCUAUAGGGGAGUCGAAGCCUAUAGAGAGGUAUAAUUAUUUCAAGGAGUCUUGUUCACUACUAUGAAACUCUGUCUUAAUUGACUAUUAAUUAUACAAAACGUGUGAGGACAGGAAUGCAGCAACACUAAGUAUAAUUACUGGUGCUUUUAAGGUAGCGGAGUUAAGAAAGGUUCAAGAUAAAACUCACUGGAGUAUUUGUAUCCAUCUUUAGGCGCGCUUACUU